RNAcentral lists this ribosomal RNA (115 nucleotides) under Candidatus Gastranaerophilus sp. (ex Termes propinquus). Lineage: Bacteria; Bacillati; Candidatus Melainabacteria; Candidatus Gastranaerophilales; Candidatus Gastranaerophilaceae. The record is from RNAcentral.
CGGUGACCAAGCGGCAGGACUCCACCCGUUCCCAUCUCGAACACGGUCGUAAAGACUGCUUGCGCCAACAAUACUCGGAGGGUAGCCUCCCGGGAAGAUAGGUAGUUGCCGGAUU